Molecule: ribosomal RNA, 253 nt
Filed under: uncultured bacterium
Lineage: Bacteria
Description: partial 16S ribosomal RNA
Rfam family: Bacterial small subunit ribosomal RNA
Source: RNAcentral
UACGUAGGGGGCAAGCGUUGUCCGGAAUUAUUGGGCGUAAAGAGCGCGUAGGCGGUCCGAUACGUCGGCUGUGAAAGUCAAGGGCUCAACCCUUGAAAGCCGGCCGAUACUGUCGGACUAGAGUCCGGAAGAGGCGAGUGGAAUUCCCAGUGUAGCGGUGAAAUGCGUAGAUAUUGGGAGGAACACCAGUGGCGAAGGCGGCUCACUGGACUGGUACUGACGCUGAGGCGCGAAAGCGUGGGGAGCAAACGGG